UAGUUAAAUAAUUUUGUUUACAUUUUAUGCUUAGAAUUUGUACUUAUGAAGGGAAGGAGAAUUUACUUAUGAUAUAAAUUACAAGCUUAAUUGAUAAAUCUUGAGAAAGCAGUAGAUUGAUUUCUAGAUUGCUACUCCAUGGGAAUUGAAAGAUAAAUAAUUAGGAUCUUAUGGAAUGAUGGUGUGGAUUCCAAUACCUUAGUUAUUUUUCUUAUAAGUUUAAAUCUUAAUUUCAGUUUAUUGUCAUUUCCAUAUUUGUUUUAUGCUUUAUUUAAUUUUCUUUAUCAACAAACAAAUCACCAUUUGAAUCAACUAGGUUGGCAAUGAAAUUAACUUGGGUAUAAUUGGUUUUCUAUCUUUACACGCAAUCCCUUGGGUACGAUCUCGCUCUUACACGCUUAUGCUAUAUUCGAUUCGUGCGCUUGCGAGUUUAUAACUUUUAAAAGAAACCUCUUUUGAGGCACAACAGCUAACUUCAUAUAUUCUUUGCGUUUUGCAACUAGAUGCAAAAGUGUACGCCAAUGUGGAAGUUUCUAGGGCAAUAGAGGAAUAUUCAUCUCAUAGAAACGAACAGAUCAUUAGUGGAGUGGAGUCUACCUUUCUGGAGCAAGUAAUUGGUUUUCAACGGAAAUACAACUUUUUGGUGGAGUUUUAGUACAAGACCAGUUGGAAAUGAAAGCUAAGAUCUUGAAGAUAAGUGUGGAAUUUUUCUAGAAUUUUCGGAGCAGCCAAUGAGAGCAGUCUUUGAAGUUAAGUCAGCAUAAGGUGCAAUCCUGUCAAAACUGUGUUGCUGUGGAAGAAUGAUUAUUUGAAGACUUUUCUAAUUUUCCUCAAGGUGUGCAAUAUAUGGCUGGAAAGAUAAGACAAAGACCUACAAUUUACAUAUUUUUCCUGAAUUUUCUUGGAGGAGGAAUGAUUCCAAACGUGCGUGCAAAGUAACUAACGUGUUAUCCCAAUCAAAGUAGAAAGAUGAGUCAAUUACUUACCCAUUUUGGAUUUAUGUUUUAAUUAGGGUUUUCUUUAUUUUUGGGCUGUUGUAAAAGCCCAACUAGGGUAGGAAUUGAUGUGUGGUGUUUUAUUUAAGCAUGAGAAACAAUUCCUUUGGGAGGACGCAGUGACUAGGAGAAAUUGGAGACCCUGGAAGAGUACCGCAAUUGGCUAAGUUUUAUUGUUUCUUCCUUAUGUUUUUGUUUAUGUCGAAUUCUAUGAUUAUGUGUGUUGGGGUCUUUUUCUGUCGGAAGGCUUGUCCGAGUUUAUUCAUUCUUGGACCAUCAUAAAGUGGUGAAUCAGGCCUUCUUUGCCCAUUUUUCUGAGUUAGCGAGAACUAGGCCCAAAGCAUCCCGAAGGAGAAGCAAGUCCUAGGAGAGCACUUUGUUGUUCUUCCAGCGGCUACAUGUUUUGUGUUGACGUUUUGUAGCUUUGAAAAUGGGUGAAGAUGAUUUGCUGACGUUGAACUGAGGUUAUAUGAGCUUGGCAUAAGAGCUUGGAGUGUGGGAACUAAAGACCCACAAGUUUAGCAAAUGAGAAUGUUUGUGCUUGGCUUGGUGUUUGAUAUGCUUGAGUUUGGGUGUUGAGAAUUUAUUGUUUGAAGCUAUGGCUAUGGUGGUUUGAUUGUUUUGCUGUGAUGGUUGUUGGGAUGCUUAUAGCAAUCAAAUGAAUAGGGUUUCAAAGAGCAUGGCUGAGGAAAGAAAAGCUUAAGACUUUAAAGGCUAUGGUGUUUGUGACUAUGAUUUUAGAGAGAUUUAUGAGUUCUAGAGGUGGGAGGAUGAAGGAGUAGCUUGGGCUUAUGCUUGAGGUGAGGCUUUAUGGAGAAGAUUAAGGAUUUUAAGGAUGAGAAAGUAGGAGACAUGGUUGUGAUGGCUGUUGGGAGCCUGCAGCAGCCAAGAGAAUGGGUCGAUGGUCACUGGAUGCUUGCAGCAGUUAAGAGAAAGGUGAGUGAGUUCUCAUGGUUGUUGAGAGGCUUGCAGCAACCAAGAGGAGUUGGUUUUGCCUGGGCAAUGCCUCCCAAUGUAUAGAAGGUGAAUGCUCUCUUUGGUUUCCAAUAGGUAAAAGGAAGUGUUGGAGCUAGUCUAUUUUCAAUGGGUAAAAGAGAGCAUUAUGAAAUUCUUAUUUCCAGCAGGUAAAGCUAGGCAUUGAAAAAUGACUAUUUCCUAUGGGUAAAAGGAAGUGUUGGAAUUGGCUUGUUUCCAGCUGGUAAUAGGGAGCAUUGGGACAUUCUUAUUUCCAGCAGGUGAAGUCAAGCAUUGGAAAAUGACUCUUUCUUAUGCGUAGAAUGAAGUGCUUGAAGAAUAUCUCAUUUGCUCACCCACAUUGGAGAACUCCAAGUAACGGAUUUGGACGUUGGUGCUCCCAAGUAGCUAGCCCAAAGUCUCCAUUAUCCAAGAGCUUUCGUGGGUCUUGUGGACCUCCGUAUCCUUCCACACCACAAUCCCUCGGGUAAGCCCCGUAAAUCACAUGACUUGGGUUCAUAUGAGCUUGUUAGGUGAUUGGCAUAGGAAAAUGUAUUAGCGUGACAUGGAAUUAUUUGGCAUGUGCUUGGAAUGCUUGGGCAUGUGUUACAGUGACUUGGGUUUUUGUGAUUGAGCUUAGUGACAUAUCGGAAUUUAAAGGAAUAGGUUUUUGGCAUGAUAUGGAUGCUAUUAGAAU
Molecule: non-coding RNA, 2646 nt
Organism: Prunus avium (sweet cherry)
Lineage: Eukaryota; Viridiplantae; Streptophyta; Magnoliopsida; Rosales; Rosaceae
Source: RefSeq, a predicted model, not a curated record